GUGUUAGGGCACGACACCGGAGAGGGAGCCUGAGAAACGGCUACCACAUCCAAGGAUGGCAGCAGGCGCGCAAAUUACCCAAUCCCGACACGGGGAGGUAGUGACAAUAAAUAACAAUACGGGGUUCUUUCGGAUCUCGUAAUUGGAAUGAGUACAAUUUAAAUCUCUUAACGAGGAACAAUUGGAGGGCAAGUCUGGUGCCAGCAGCCGCGGUAAUUCCAGCUCCAAUAGCGUAUAUUAAAGUUGUUGCAGUUAAAAAGCUCGUAGUUGAAUUUCGGGAUCAAUACAUCUGUCGUGCCUUCGGUACGUACGGGUAUAAUUGGUUUCUACCUUCUGAUGAACCUUGAUGCCAUUAAUUUGGUGUCUUGGGGACUCAGGACUGUUACCUUGAAAAAAUUAGAGUGUUUAAAGCAGGCAUACGCUUGAAUACAUUAGCAUGGAAUAAUGAAAUAGGACGUUCGAUUCUAUUCUGUUGGUUUCUAGGAUCGACGUAAUGAUUAAUAGGGAUAGUUGGGGGCAUUAGUAUUCAAUUGUCAGAGGUGAAAUUCUUGGAUUUAUUGAAGACUAACUACUGCGAAAGCAUUUGCCAAGGAUGUUUUCAUUAAUCAAGAACGAAAGUUAGGGGAUCGAAGACGAUCAGAUACCGUCGUAGUCUUAACCAUAAACUAUGCCGACUAGGGAUCGGAUGAUGUAA
RNAcentral lists this ribosomal RNA (694 nucleotides) under uncultured Glomeromycotina. RNAcentral describes it as "SSU rRNA". It matches the Rfam family "Eukaryotic small subunit ribosomal RNA", at positions 367 to 1065 of the family's 1831-position model. The record is from RNAcentral. Lineage: Eukaryota; Fungi; Glomeromycota.